Non-coding RNA from Equus caballus (horse), 3699 nucleotides. The record is from RefSeq and is a predicted model, not a curated record. Lineage: Eukaryota; Metazoa; Chordata; Mammalia; Perissodactyla; Equidae.
CGGCCCUUUAUAUCCAUUUUAUAUUGAUUGUUGUGCUACUUUUUAGGGAGUCAUACUAGAUAUCUUGCUGACUUUUAGGAAACUUGAUAGUCAUAAUUAGUAGAUAUUAAUUUUAUAAGAUAGUUCUAGAUGUGUAUAUACGUAUCUUUGAAUUUCUAAAACGGAACAUAAUUUUUAUCUCAGACUCCCACUCUGUGUCAUGCAGAAAAAUUAUCUGGUAACUACCAGAGAGAUUAGUUCACACUCACAUGCUCUCCCUUGCUCCUUUAGAUGGAAUCUCAGUGGUAGGGGAAUGAGAGAGGGGGACCCAUGUAACACCAUAUCCUCUCAGUUGGUAGCUCCCAAGAUGAGUAACUGCCCCCUCCUGUCUUUGAUCAUGGGGUCCCUCAGCACUGGCACCCAGAGCUAUCCUCUAAGGUGGCUGCAUGCCCAUCUGGGUUGCUCAGCUCAUGUUACCAUCCGUGGUUGGUCCUCCAUGGCAUGAUUCCUUUGGGCUGCUGGCUGUCAUUCUCAGCUAACUUCUCUUCCUCCUCAGGAUAUGAGGAGGGUCCAGCUACUCUCCCACACCUUUUUGGGGCUACAGGAAAUAAGGUUCUCAUUGAGUUCUCUUCCACCAUCACCUGCACAGCCAUCUUUCCUCUGCUGAUCCCAUCUCACUGUGGCAUAUGCAUAUCUGUGGUGUUAGCUGCCUUCUCUAGAUAGGAAGUAGACACAGCCGCCCCUGUUCUCGGGUUCCUUAAACCUUAUCUGGUGUUCUACCCUCAACUGUAGUUCCCUCCUUUCUGAGGGGAUUCACCCUGGGAAGAUGUCAUGGGGCUGGAGCCUCCCUUGGAGACCACACAAGCCUACAGCCCAGGUAACCCUACUAGAGUGCCUGAGGACUGGUUAUCUUGGAUGGAGAAGAGGGAGGGAGUUCUUUUGGACUAGUCUUAUUUGUCUACUGGUCAGGCCCAUAUAGUUCCCGAAUGCUCAGAAAGUCUUUUCUCCCAUGUCUAAGUCUUAUGUUCAGUAACCUUGUUUGAUCUCAAAAACUAAGCACCAACUCUCUUUUUCCUUGCGUUCCAGCUUUAGGGGUCCCACUUUUCCCUAGGCCCAAGCAUGCCUGGAGGAGAGGGCAGUGAAAUGUGCAGUGUUGAUGGUGGCAGGAAAGACCUGGUUAAUGUCUCAAAAUGUCCUUCUGCUGUACUGGCAAUGGCCGUGUCACUGUGCUAAGCGCCUUAGACCCAUGUGAUCCUCAGAACCAUCCCUGGAACUGAGUACGACCAUUUUUGUUUCCAAAUGAAGAGAUGGAAGGUUGGAGAGAUGAUAGGUAACUUGUUCCAAGAUUCCAGUUACAAGUGAAGGAGAAAGAAUUGAACCUAGGGUAAUCUAAUUCCGAAGUCUUCACUUUAAAUCCCAACAGUGGUCUCAUUACCUUGGCGAACAACUGACUCUCCAGGAAGUUUGUUAGAAACAAUUUUGAUAACGACCCACCUCAGGAGAUCCUGAUCCAAUUGGUCGGCAGUGGGGCCCGGUCGUCUGUGUUUUGAACGAUCUCUGUAGGUAGUUCAGAUGCACACCAAAGUUUGAGAACCAGCUCUGGCACUUGUUAAUUGGUUGAUUUAGGACAAAUUACUUCACCUCCCAGUGCCUCAGUUUCCUCAUUUGUUAAAUGCAGGAUGAUAACAGUACCCACGCCACUGAGUUAUUGUGGGAAUUAAAUGAGUUUAAAAUGAAAGCACUAGGAAGAGUACACGGCACCUAAUAAGAGCUCAAUAAGCAUUAAAGAUGAUUACUUUUACUGCCUCUUAGCAGCAACUCACUUAGAAAACACUUUUUAGGAGUGCUAUUUCCUGGAUAGAUUACAUAAAAGGGUAAUUGCCUGUAUUUACAUAGACUUUUGAUAGUUUGUGUCUCAGAGAGUGACUUUUUUUUUUUUUUUUUAGCCCUUUUCCCCAAAUCUAGGCCUAAUUUGGAUCCCAUGGUCUCCUGUGGUCCUAACCAUCUAGAAGUCAUGUUAUGAAGGGUCCUGCCAAGAAGAGAUGAGGUAAAAUGGUAACAGCUGCUAUUGCCCUACUGUGUCUUCCCUCCAAAUCUGUCAACAACGUGAACUUCUCAGCGGCCUCUUUAUACCAGGCAUUGUGCUUCAAGACUCAGCUCUGGCCCUUAAGAAGCUUAGGUUCCCGCUGAAGAGACAGGAUGUGUACACACGAAAAGAUAACAGCUUGAGACCAUGCCAAAUGAACCAGAGAUGACAAAGGUUAAAGGAGUGUGCAGUUAUCCAAUAAGUGCAUAUUGAGCUCCUAUAACAUGCUAUAUUUUAUUGUAACAAUGAGGGGAAACCAGAGAACCAAACAGAUACAGCCCCUGGCUUCAUGGAUCUUAGGUUCUAACGAAACCAUUCAGAGUAUAAACAAAUACAUACAUAAUACAUCAACUUGGGACAAGUGCUUUGAAGGAAGGUGAAGCAGAGUAAGGUGACUGUUUGGAUAGGGAGUCAGGGAAGGCCUCUGGGAUAAGGUGGCAUUUGAGUGAAAACCUGAAGAGAGAGAGCAAGUCAUCAGAACAUCUGGAAGAAUUUUCCAAGCAAGCUGAAUAGCAAGUGCAAAGGCCCUGAGGAGGCAGUGUGCUUGGUGUGUUCUAAGAAGAACAAGUAGGCCAGCAUGGCUGGAGGGUAGGGAGCAAGAGGGCCUGGGCGGGAUAUAAGGUUAGAGAGGUGACAGGGAUGGAUCAGGAACGCUUGGCAGGCUGUGGUAAAGACUUCGGAUUUUAUUCUGAAGCCACUGGAGGGUUUUGAGCAGAUCAGUGACAUGAUCUGACCUACAUAUUGGAAGGAUAGCUCUGUGUGAGGACAGACUCUAGGGGUGCAAGAGGAGAAGUCUGAGGCCAGAGAGGUGGCUACUACAAGAAUUCAGGGCUGAAAUGAUGGUAGCUUGGACCAGGGUGAUAGGACUGAGGGUGGCGAGACCAGGUGGGAUUCUGAAUGUAUUUUGAAGAUAAACAAGACAGUUAAGGUAUAGGGUUAUGAAUAAAGAGAGAAAUUAGGGAUGACUCCAAAGUUUCUGGCCCGAACUCAAGGUUUUACCUUCACAGGAGGAAGUGGCUACUUUCGGUUAAGAUAAUCAGAGAAGGAUUAAUGAAAGACUCAAGAUUUGAGCUGUAGUUUGAAAAACUAGUAGGGUUUUGUGGCUUGUAAAAAUUCUCAGUGGAUUGUGCUGAGACCGUUUUGUCUUCCUGAACCCCAUCCCCCCACCCCAAACCCCUCCUUUGUUAAGUUUCAGAAGCCUCUAUUCUGGGGAGCAGGGAUUCACCCAGCCCAAGGGAGACACAUCUUGAUUCUUUAGGCCAAUCACGGAAAUUCCUUGCUCUUGCCAGUAAUUGGCAAGAAGUGGGCUGAUUUCAGAAUGGGCGUGUACUACAAUUCUGGACAAUGAAAUGCAGAAGGGAACUCUGCAGAAGACACUUCUGGGAAAUUCCCUAAGUCUGAGAUGCUCCUUAUUUGAGAUGUUGCAUAAGGAUAAAGUUCUUGAGCUGCCAUCGCCACCUUACAAACAUAAAGCUGGAAACUGAGGCCAACAGCCUGCAUGUUGAGGGUGACAGAGGAGAAAGGUUGGAAACAGCACAGUUCCUUGAAGACAUGCUGAGCCACUGAGUUACCCAACCCUGGAAUUGCACCACUUCUGGACUUCUUAUUAUGUGAGAUGUAAAAAAAAAAAAAAA